Molecule: ribosomal RNA, 433 nt
Filed under: uncultured bacterium
Lineage: Bacteria
Description: partial 16S ribosomal RNA
Rfam family: Bacterial small subunit ribosomal RNA
Source: RNAcentral
AACGAACGCUGGCGGCAUGCCUAACACAUGCAAGUCGAACGAGACCUUCGGGUCUAGUGGCGCACGGGUGCGUAACGCGUGGGAACCUGCCCUUAGGUUCGGAAUAACUCCCCGAAAGGUGUGCUAAUACCGGAUAAUGUCUUCGGACCAAAGAUUUAUCGCCUUUGGAUGGGGCCGCGUUGGAUUAGCUAGUUGGUAGGGUAAAAGCAUACCAAGGAGACGAUCCAUAGCUGGUCUGAGAGGAUGAUCAGCCACACUGGGACUGAGACACGGCCCAGACUCCUACGGGAGGCAGCAGUGGGGAAUAUUGGACAAUGGGCGAAAGCCUGAUCCAGCAAUGCCGCGUGAGUGAUGAAGGCCUUAGGGUUGUAAAGCUCUUUUACCCGGGAUGAUAAUGACAGUAACGGGAGAAUAAGCUCCGGCUAACUACGUG